Long non-coding RNA from Zeugodacus cucurbitae (melon fly), 1898 nucleotides. RefSeq lists it as uncharacterized. Lineage: Eukaryota; Metazoa; Arthropoda; Insecta; Diptera; Tephritidae. The record is from RefSeq and is a predicted model, not a curated record. The transcript is spliced from 3 exons.
AUAAAAAUUUAAAUUUAAAAAAAUACACUGCUAGGGAGUAAUUGUUUGAUAGCACAGAAAUCUCAAUUUUACAGACAAAAUUUAAAAUUCUUAGCGGCGCAAGAAAAACAUAAUUUCUGUGUUUUCGUUUUUCGUUUGAACUGCCGCCAGCGACGAAAUAAUGCAUUCUAUAAUUGUAAAAGCUCGUGUAAAUGCUGGCAAUAAAAUUCUUUUUAGUAAUGGACAGCAUCGCAUGUACUUAUGUGUGUGAUCACACUCGACCCUUUGCAUCAGAAAACUUAAUGCUGCUCGCAACAUGAAAAUAUGAUAUUCGAUAUGAUAUGAGCGUUGAUGUAAUGUGGUUGCAUUGGAGAAUUGAGAACUUUUCCAAACCAGUUCCUGCUGCCUUUUGUUUUCAUUCAUUCAAGAGUGAUCGCCGCACAACACAAAGCAACCUAAACAUAUUUGUGAUAUUCGGCGAGUUUUCCGGAAAUACUCGUAUACGGACAGUGAUCAUUCGGUGUUUACCCGUAUCUGCUUACGCAUGCGCAGCAGGAACUUAGAACACACCUUUGUUUGAUGUGGCGUUGAGUGGCGCAGGGGAUGAUACAGAUCGCUUGCACGCACAAAAACACACACGAACAAAUAAUAUAGUAUAUUUACCAGGUAUGUUCCAGGUAUCAUUAUUGCAUGUGUUCAAGCGCACAGCCCAACCCAUCUUAGUCUAACGCACGCAAUACCGCUAAGUUAGGAAGUUGCAGUAUGAAUUGCCCUCAAAAGUCGUGGCUUUUCAUUAACAGACGCUUUUGUAUUGUUAAUGAUUUCAGAAUUUCAUAAUUUCCAAAGAAAUAAUUGCAUUGUUCUAUACUCGCUGGCUGUUGUUGCUUGCUGAGAAAAAUCAAGUUUUCGAAUUUGUAUAGAGUGCUUUUUUCCCGGCGGUUUUCCCAAAAUUUUCCAAACAAUUGAAAUGCCAAUGCUUUGUUUCGUCAAAAAAUUCUGCACACAAAUGUUAAACGAGUUUUCUUCUUUAUGAAAAAUAUUUCUAAUUCAAAAAUUUUGUGCAAUAAAUGCCACAAAAACAAUGCCAACCGCUGGCGUCAAAGGAAUCAAAUGUUCGUUGGAGGUCAGCAUUGGUGUUGUUAAUGACCCGAACUAUGUGACCGACCAACCGCCUUGUGUAAUCAAUACACAAUACUUGUUUAACUCCUGGUAAUCGGGGUAACGGUAACAUUGCAUUUGGCGAAAGACUGUCUCAAAAGUCAAUUUCGUUUGACAAUGCAUGCAUUAUUUGCACGACACACACAUACUUACAUAUAGUAGAAUUGUCCAGUAAAACUAUUGUUUUCCAUUGAGAUUUGUCACAAAAGAAAACCACUCCGACAGUGAAAAGGCGUUUCGAAUUGCAACAAAGUGAAAAUGAACAGCGAUAAAGUUUCCAAAAUAUUGUUAUUUAAUGACAGGCAUGAACGAGUAGAGAGCACUGUUCGCAUUUUCUCUUUGUCUUAUCGAGGAUAUUCUACCAUAAAUACUGUAGAGUUUUGUGAGAAAUUCAGUUAUUUUUCUUCAAUUAUUAUGUUCUAUAAGAUAUAAUAUGAUUUUGGUUUUAAGUCCUCGAUCCCGCAAGAGGGAAAUACAAUUUGAUUUAAAUAUUGAUCAUAGGUUUGUUUGAAGGAGGUUGAUGCGAAUCAGAGGAAUUUUGUAUACUUAGUGCUUGAGGAAAUCUAAUUGUCUAUUAAGGCUCUGUUUGAUCUGUUAAUACCUAAGAAUUAUGGAGACCACAUAUUUAUCUUACCAUCUUUAUAUAAGAAUCUUUAUUCAAUUAACGACCAAAGAAUCGCUGUUAAAAAUAUGAUAAUUAGUUUUUGCGACAUUGAUUAGAACUUGAAACCCAUCGAAUAGAUAUCCCAACUAAUAGGUUC